AUGGAGCCUGCUGUCGCUGGAGCUUGGACCACCACCAUCUUCUUGUCCUCCACCGCAAACGGAAUCGCGUUCUCCUUGUCGUUGCUGCCGGCGCUCGCCGCCGUCGGCUUCUGCUUGCCGCCGGACUUGCGGUUGGUGACGGUCUCCUUGGCCUGCCUGACGAUCUCGCGCGCGUGCUCCUUGGCGUCCCUCCGCCGGUGCCCCACGGCGUCCCCGUCCCUCCUAUCCUUCUUCUUCUUGGCCGACGUCGGCGACGUGGGCAUGGACAUGUACUGCGCCGCCCGGUCGAGCACGUUCUCCUUGAGCACCUGCAACGACAGCCGCGGGCGGUCCACCACGUCCCACGCGGAGGCCGUCCUGGCUGACGAGGCGGACGCACGCGGCGUGUCCGGGAGCGACCUGGCGUCGCCGGCGCCGACGUUGCAGCUGAGGCUCCGCAGCGGCUGCCGAUUCAUGGACUCCGGGAUGACCCGCUUCUUCUUUUCCUUGACGGCCGCCGCAGCCGCUUUGGGAUUAUUGGUGCCCUUCUUGAGGCCUGGCGACGGCGAGCAGGCGUCGUCGGGGAGGCCGUCGAUGCCCAUGAGGCGCGCGACGAGGCUGGGCGUGCGCGGGGUCCCGGCCUCGGACGGCGGCGCGGUGGCCCUGCUGCCGGUGCUCCGCCUCCCGGCCACCGCCAGCGCGUCGAAGGCCGGCUCGACCUGCACGCCGAUCUGGAUGUCCCGCAGCUGGUCCGCGUCCAGCUCCAGGCUGUUCCUCGGCGCCUCCAGCCCUGCAUUUGCAAAUGGAUCGGAUGUGUCAACCCAAAUGAAACCAGUUUCUACGGACUAG
RNAcentral lists this ribosomal RNA (828 nucleotides) under Triticum aestivum (bread wheat). Its description in RNAcentral is "partial small subunit ribosomal RNA". Lineage: Eukaryota; Viridiplantae; Streptophyta; Magnoliopsida; Poales; Poaceae. The record is from RNAcentral.